GGGGCUUGUUCAUAUAGGUCCCAGGAGGGAGAUCACCUGAGCACAGCUACUAUCCAGCCUGAGCGUCUCUCUGCCUGAGCGUGUUCCUGGAUGCUGUAGCUGGUGUACUUGGCAUCACAGGGCCAGAGGAAAGUUAAUGGCUUUGGGAAGCGCUUCAACAAACAAGCGUUGGGGCUUGGUAUCACUUUUCUUGAAUGGUAUGCGACUAGUCUCACUGGACAAACUUUACAGCCUUUGCACCUAAAGGAAAGCAUCACUGCUUUCUUUACUCAUUAGGGAAAUGAUGUUGAGUUAGAGGAAAUAGAUACAAGGAGGACAAGAAGUCAUCAAGUUGUCCUUUAAUACAGAGAAAUUCAAUCUGAUUUAAUGUCUCCCAAGAUAAUGCAGUUUCAGGCAGAAUCAAAGAUGAAGGUACAAAAAGAAGAAAAAUGUUGACCCAAGGGUCACAGAGUUUACGUAAUAAGUACUAUCUGGGACUUUAAUGGUAAAUUUUGGGGAUUUGCUCACUAUAUAUUUGUGCAUUAUAGAUUAAAUAUGGCUACGCACUUUUGUGACUCUUUAAACUUAGGGGUGACUUGAUUUCCCCUUUCCUUUAAUCUGGGCUGAUCUUGAAUACUCUACUCACUAGAAUUUUGCAGAAGUAAUUCUAUUUGGACUUUAGAGUACUGGCAGCUUUUGCCUUUCCCAUGUUGGAAUGAUCACUCUUAGGACAUUCCUUAG
Molecule: long non-coding RNA, 720 nt
Filed under: Oryctolagus cuniculus (rabbit)
Lineage: Eukaryota; Metazoa; Chordata; Mammalia; Lagomorpha; Leporidae
Description: lncRNA (ENSOCUG00000039300.1)
Source: RNAcentral